CAGUACCGUGAGGGAAAGGUGAAAAGCACCCCGACAAGGGGAGUGAAAUAGAACCUGAAACCGGAUGCCUACAAACAGUCGGAGCCCGCAAGGGUGACGGCGUACCUUUUGUAUAAUGGGUCAUCUACUUGGUCUCACGAGCAAGCUUAAGCCGUUAGGUGGAGGCGCAGCGAAAGCGAGUCUGAACAGGGCGUUCAGUUCGUCGGAUUAGACCCGAAACCGG
RNAcentral lists this ribosomal RNA (223 nucleotides) under Chaetoceros curvisetus. Its description in RNAcentral is "partial Bacterial large subunit ribosomal RNA". It matches the Rfam family "Bacterial large subunit ribosomal RNA", at positions 496 to 724 of the family's 2925-position model. Lineage: Eukaryota; Bacillariophyta; Thalassiosirophyceae; Chaetocerotales; Chaetocerotaceae. The record is from RNAcentral.